GUAAAAACGGCGUUUAGAAUUGAAACACAUCUACAACAUGUUUAGAUCUAAACGUGUUUAGGAAAGCGUUUAGGAUCUAAACGGAUAUUCACGUAAACACAUUGAAACCUAAACAUGUUUAGAAUUUAAACGUGUUGCAGUUUAAUUAUCUGUGAAUGUUAUCAGUAAGCUAAACAUUAAGUAGCAUCUAAACACUUCUGAAACACUUUCUUAAACACCUAAACACAUUAUACCACUUCAUUACUGAUUUCACCUUUUUACUCGAUGUUCCUUUAUUUUCCAACGUAUUCUGUGACACUAUCUCGGUUUUAUUGAAAUGAAAAUUAUGGAACAGAUAAUUAUAUUUACAAAUCAGUCCCAAGUAUGAGUCAAUAUAUGUUCCUGGUAUGAGCUACUUAUGAGAACAAUUCAUAUCAUCUUCCCCAACUGAGUUCCGCGGCCCUUUUUUGUGUUGUAAGAUUAUAGAUUUGCUAUCAAUUAAAAUUUCUAUAUGUUAAGCAAUUACUUUUUUUUACUGAAUCUUUAUAGUAUUUAUAAGGAAGAUAUGAGUGAAUAUUUUCUCUAAUUUCCGGAGUCGUUGUCCGACUAUGAUCUGAUUUUAUUAAACGAACAGAGUUAUCGUUCUUGGUAAUUUGAUACAGACGCCUUCAGACCCGCCAAAGACAAAAUUAUUUAAAACAAUGGAUCCCAUCGACCAAGCAAAUAUAUCUAUGGACGAUGCAACAGAUACAGAACAUCUUAUUAGAAUAUUGACGGAAUCAAAAGCCAGCUUAACAAUUAUUACAGCAGCGGAAGGACUGUGACACAGUAGUGGGAAUGAAAUCCCUAGAAUAUAGAUCAAAUCGAAGAAAAGAUCAGAUAUAAAACAACGAAGAAAGAAAAGGAUGACUUCAUUUCAAAAGCAGAUUUUACAAAAGUUCACCUGACAACCAAAAAGAACUGCCCACCAAGAGCCUUUAUCAUUCAAAAGAAGAUAGUUCCGUAAUGAACAAUUCCUGUAUGAUAGGAGAUGGACUGACAAUUUCUGUUUUGUUGAGGAUAAAAUUCAUGUGAUUUUACAUUUUCCUGUUAAUGACUAUCUAUGGCAAAUUCUCUUUAUUAAAUCUAUUAACACUUAUGAAAUUGGUGAUGAAAAUGUUAUAAUUUUUCAAGGGAAAAUAAUGUAAACUUGUUAUUGUCUCAUAAAUCUGUACAGAUUAUAUCAAGAUUUAUAAUUGUAUUUUUUGUUUGCUUUAAGUGAGACUUUUAAAUAAAAUAUUGAAAUAA
This is a long non-coding RNA of Mytilus californianus (California mussel), 1266 nucleotides long. RefSeq lists it as uncharacterized. The transcript has 3 exons. The record is from RefSeq and is a predicted model, not a curated record. NCBI's taxonomy places the organism in Eukaryota, Metazoa, Mollusca, Bivalvia, Mytilida, Mytilidae.